UGAAUACGAGACGCUACGGCGUCGAAGCAGUCUAUGUCAGACUUCCAAGAAAAGCUCGCAAUGUCAUAAACAAAUAAUGCCUGUACCAUAACCGACACAGGUGGGUAGGUAGAGUAUACUAAGGGGCGCGAGAUAACUCUCUCUAAGGAACUCGGCAAAAUGACUCCGUAACUUCGGGAGAAGGAGUGCCUUAUUUAUAAGGUUGCAAUAACAAGAUCCAAGCAACUGUUUAUCAAAAACACAGGUCUCCGCUAAGUCGUAAGACGAUGUAUGGGGGCUGACGCCUGCCCAGUGCCAGAAGGUUAAAGAAGUUGGUUAGCAUUCGCGAAGCUGAUAACUGAAGCCCUGGUGAACGGCGGCCGUAACAAUAACGGUCCUAAGGUAGCGAAAUUCCUUGUCGGGUAAGUUCCGACCCGCACGAAAGGCGUAAUGAUUUGGAUGCUGUCUCGGAGAGGGGCUCGGUGAAAUAGACUUGUCUGUGAAGAUGCGGACUACCUGCACCUGGACAGAAAGACCCUAUGAAGCUUUACUGUAACUUGAAAUUGAAAUUGGACUUUAUUUGCGCAGCAUAGGUGGGAGGCGUUGAGAGUAUUCUUGCGGGAAUAUUGGAGCCAUCAGUGAGAUACCACUCUUGUAAUGUUAGAUUUCUAACUUUGUAUCAUUAUCUGGUCAAAGAACAGUUUCAGGCGGGCAGUUUGACUGGGGCGGUCGCCUCCCAAACGGUAACGGAGGCGUACAAAGGUUUCCUCUGAACGGGUAGAAAUCGUAUCUAGAGUGUAAAGGCAUAAGGAAGCUUGACUGUGAGACCUACAAGUCGAGCAGGGACGAAAGUCGGUCUUAGUGAUCUGACGGUGCUGAGUGGAAAGGCCGUCACUCAACGGAUAAAAGUUACUCUAAGGAUAACAGGCUGAUCUCCCCCAAGAGUUCACAUCGACGGGGAGGUUUGGCACCUCGAUGUCGGCUCAUCGCAUCCUGGGGCGGUAGUACGUCCCAAGGGUUGGGCUGUUCGCCCAUGAAAGCGGUACGCGAGCUGGGUUCAGAACGUCGUGAGACAGUUCGGUCCAUAUCCGGUGUAGGCGUUAGAAUAUUGAGAGGAGCCUUCUUUAGUACGAGAGGACCGAGAAGGACAUACCUCUGGUGUACCAGUUAUCGUGCCAACGGUAAACGCUGGGUAGCUAUGUAUGGAGAGGAUAACCGCUGAAAGCAUCUAAGUGGGAAGCCCACCUCAAGAUAAGUAUUCUCAUCACGUAAGUGAAUAAGGUCACGGUGAGACUAACCGUUUGAUAGGCAUUAAGUGUAAAUCUAGUAAUAGGUGAGCUGAGAUGUGCUAACAGACCGAAGACUC
RNAcentral lists this ribosomal RNA (1345 nucleotides) under metagenome. RNAcentral's name for it is "bacterial LSU rRNA". It matches the Rfam family "Bacterial large subunit ribosomal RNA", at positions 1564 to 2925 of the family's 2925-position model. The record is from RNAcentral.